CAUAUUAAUAAGCGGAGGAAAAGAAAUUAACUAAGAUUCCCUUAGUAACGGCGAGUGAAGCGGGAGUUAGCCCAGCACUGAAUCCCCUCGGGGACCUGUAGUGUAUGGACGUUUACCAUUCGUCUGCGUUUGUCUGUGAUAUGUCGCAUGGAAUUUCUCGAACACUAGCGAUGGCGAGAGGCCUGUGUCGACGUGGAUGACGCUACGAAUGUGUAUCUGUUCCGAGAGUCAGUUUGUUUGAGAAUGCAAACUAAAGAACGGUGGUAAUUUCCAUCGAAGGCUAAAUACUUCCACGAGACCGAUAUUUGACAAGUACCGCAAGGGAAAGUUGAAAAGCACUUCGGCGAGAGAGUGAAAAGUAUGUGAAACCGCAUGUAGGUAAACGAGCUGGUAACCCUCUUUAGUGUGAGUUUGGUACUCCACGCGAUUCGAACAAUUGGCAAUUGACAAAACAGAUUGAUGAGAUAAUCCUUGUUGUACCCAUGAGAUUUUCUGCGAGUCGUUGGCAGAGAGGGAUACACUCGACCCGU
This 530-nucleotide ribosomal RNA is filed under the name Fedikovella sp. MNHN IM 2013-62341. RNAcentral's name for it is "partial large subunit ribosomal RNA". It matches the Rfam family "Eukaryotic large subunit ribosomal RNA", at positions 39 to 652 of the family's 3401-position model. The record is from RNAcentral. Lineage: Eukaryota; Metazoa; Mollusca; Gastropoda; Cocculinidae.